This is a non-coding RNA of Protopterus annectens (West African lungfish), 89 nucleotides long. NCBI's taxonomy places the organism in Eukaryota, Metazoa, Chordata, Ceratodontiformes, Protopteridae. The record is from the annotation of a RefSeq genome assembly.
GGCCUUGUAGCUCAGAGGUUAGAGCACUGGUCUAGUAAACCAGUGGAUAUGAGGACCAGUGCUCAUGAGUUCAAAUCUCAUCAAGGCCU